AGGAUUUCAGCUGACCAUUUUGGAGAUCUCAUCAUUUUGACCAUCAUUGAGGACUCUGUAGUGGGGACGACUGGACGUGCUUCAAGCCCUCUUAGUUAUUCACCAUAUUUCUCCUAAUUCAGAAGUAGGAGAAAGGCAAAGAGGUCGGCGUGCACGUGCGGAGGCCCGAUGGAGGAAGCAACGCAAAAGGAGUUACAGCAUAAGAAUACCAGGUGAUAGACGAAUGACUCGACCAGACCCUACGGCCUGCCAUGGAGAGAGGUUACACAGGCGGAGGAUGUUCAAACAGUUGGCAUGGAUAACGAGCUCUACAUGACAGCAUCGACCACAGUCACAAGAAAGAGAGCUGGACUUGGGCGGUAGUCAGAAAACCAGCAAUAGCAGCUUUAAAAUACAACCUACUUCAUGUAGUUACCUCUGCAAAACGGGAAUCAAUGUAUACUCGUAUGUAGUGAGGUUUGACAAUCAGUCUAUAGCUCCAGACUCUGUGGUACUAAUAGCUAUGCAUACAACUUGUUACAAGACAGAGUUUCUCCUUGAAUGCACUAUUACCAAGAUUCACUGUUAUAGACGAACAUCCAAAGUUAUAAAACAAAAAAAUGUCCUGUUCUGCAAGCUUUAUAUAUACUGAAUAUUUUGUAAUAUUCAGAUGUAAUAAAAGUAUGUUUGAUGUGUAUGUUGAUGAAAUAAAGUUAUAAGCAAUUGUGUG
Branchiostoma floridae (Florida lancelet) is the source of this 709-nucleotide long non-coding RNA. RefSeq lists it as uncharacterized. Lineage: Eukaryota; Metazoa; Chordata; Leptocardii; Amphioxiformes; Branchiostomatidae. The record is from RefSeq and is a predicted model, not a curated record. The transcript is spliced from 3 exons.